UAUUGGGCCUAAAGCGUCCGUAGCUGGCCGCGCAAGUCCAUCGGGAAAUCCACCCGCCCAACGGGUGGCCGUCCGGUGGAAACUGCACGGCUUGGGACCGGAAGGCGCGACGGGUACGUCCGGGGUAGGAGUGAAAUCCCGUAAUCCUGGACGGACCGCCGAUGGCGAAAGCACGUCGCGAGAACGGAUCCGACAGUGAGGGACGAAAGCCAGGGUCUCGAACC
RNAcentral lists this ribosomal RNA (224 nucleotides) under uncultured archaeon. RNAcentral's name for it is "partial 16S ribosomal RNA". It matches the Rfam family "Archaeal small subunit ribosomal RNA", at positions 502 to 725 of the family's 1478-position model. The record is from RNAcentral.